CCUACGGGAGGCAGCAGUGGGGAAUCUUGCGCAAUGGGCGAAAGCCUGACGCAGCAACGCCGCGUGCGGGAAGAAGGCUUUCGGGCUGUAAACCGCUUUCAGCAGGAACGAAAAUGACGGUACCUGCAGAAGAAGGAGCGGCCAACUAUGUGCCAGCAGCCGCGGCGAUACAUAGGCUUCAAGCGUUGUCCGGAUUUAUUGGGCGUAAAGAGUUCGUAGGCGGUCGAGUAAGUCGGGUGUGAAAAUUCUGGGCUCAACCCAGAGACGCCACCCGAUACUGCUUGACUUGAGUUCGAUAGGGGAGUGGGGAAUUCCUAGUGUAGCGGUGAAAUGCGCAGAUAUUAGGAGGAACACCGGUGGCGAAGGCGCCACUCUGGAUCGAUACUGACGCUGAGGAACGAAAGCAUGGGUAGCAAACAGGAUUAGAUACCCUGGUAGUCCAUGCCGUAAACGGUGGGCACUAGGUGUGGGUUUCUAUUAACGAAAUCCGCGCCGUCGCUAACGCAUUAAGUGCCCCGCCUGGGGAGUACGGUCGCAAGACUAAAACUCAAAUGAAUUGACGG
Molecule: ribosomal RNA, 563 nt
Filed under: uncultured bacterium
Lineage: Bacteria
Description: bacterial SSU rRNA
Rfam family: Bacterial small subunit ribosomal RNA
Source: RNAcentral